This 89-nucleotide transfer RNA is filed under the name Candidatus Microgenomates bacterium. RNAcentral describes it as "tRNA-Leu". It matches the Rfam family "tRNA". Rfam says of the family: Transfer RNA (tRNA) molecules are approximately 80 nucleotides in length. Their secondary structure includes four short double-helical elements and three loops (D, anti-codon, and T loops). The record is from RNAcentral. Lineage: Bacteria; Candidatus Microgenomatota.
GCCGAGGUGGCGGAAUUGGCAGACGCGCACGACUCAAAAUCGUGUGAGGCUAAUACCUCGUGUGGGUUCGACUCCCACCCCCGGCACAA